GGGUGGCGGACGGGUGAGUAACGCGUAAAGAACUUGCCUCACAGAUAGGGACAACAUUUGGAAACGAAUGCUAAUACCUGAUAUUAUGAUUUUAGGGCAUCCUAGGAUUAUGAAAGCUAUAUGCGCUGUGAGAGAGCUUUGCGUCCCAUUAGCUAGUUGGAGAGGUAACGGCUCACCAAGGCGAUGAUGGGUAGCCGGCCUGAGAGGGUGAUCGGCCACAAGGGGACUGAGACACGGCCCUUACUCCUACGGGAGGCAGCAGUGGGGAAUAUUGGACAAUGGACCAAGAGUCUGAUCCAGCAAUUCUGUGUGCACGAUGAAGUUUUUCGGAAUGUAAAGUGCUUUCAGUUGGGAAGAAAAAAAUGACGGUACCAACAGAAGAAGUGACGGCUAAAUACGUGCCAGCAGCCGCGGUAAUACGUAUGUCACAAGCGUUAUCCGGAUUUAUUGGGCGUAAAGCGCGUCUAGGUGGUUAUAUAAGUCUGAUGUGAAAAUGCAGGGCUCAACUCUGUAUUGCGUUGGAAACUGUGUAACUAGAGUACUGGAGAGGUAAGCGGAACUACAAGUGUAGAGGUGAAAUUCGUAGAUAUUUGUAGGAAUGCCGAUGGGGAAGCCAGCUUACUGGACAGAUACUGACGCUGAAGCGCGAAAGCGUGGGUAGCAAACAGGAUUAGAUACCCUGGUAGUCCACGCCGUAAACGAUGAUUACUANGUGUUGGGGGUCGAACCUCAGCGCCCCACCCAAACGCGAUAAAUAAUCCCCCCCUGGGGAGUACGUACGCAAGUAUGAAACUCAAAGGAAUUGACGGGGACCC
This 815-nucleotide ribosomal RNA is filed under the name uncultured bacterium. RNAcentral describes it as "bacterial SSU rRNA". It matches the Rfam family "Bacterial small subunit ribosomal RNA", at positions 93 to 922 of the family's 1533-position model. The record is from RNAcentral.